This is a non-coding RNA of Mus caroli (Ryukyu mouse), 2205 nucleotides long. The record is from RefSeq and is a predicted model, not a curated record. Lineage: Eukaryota; Metazoa; Chordata; Mammalia; Rodentia; Muridae.
UUCUGUUGGGGGCUUCUCACACCCUGUCCAAAGCGGAAUCCUUUAUUCCCCACCCUACCCCACCCCAAAUUCUGCCUUGUUCAGCCUUCCACUCUACUCAGUGAAGAUCCUUAUAGGUGUUUCUAGAUGAUUCUGGAAAACAUUGCAGAAACUCCUCCCUCUUUUACAACAGCAUCCGUCCCUUCAGCAAAUGGACUUACCUCACAAAUCUCUCCAGAGCCUAGGCCUCUAACCCCAUCUCAGUAGCCCCCACCCAGAUCUGGCCAGUACCAUGCUAUGCCUCCACGUCCCAUCAUGCCCCAGGUAGAGCCCCCGAGCAGUCUUCAUGAGAGCUAGUGCCCAUCCUCUCUUCUCCAUUUGCACUCCAUGAUUGCCCCACGAUCAGCUCUGCUCUUCCACGUGGUCCCGUGUUUCUCCCAAAGCCCCCAGGCUUGCUGUUCCCUGGCGGAUUCUGCCCCUGACUUUCCUUCCACUAUGGAAGAGUCUGGCUCUCAGAGUACCAAGACUGGCUCUUUUAUCUUCUCAAAGUCCCCUGAAGUAAAGUUGAACCACUCCCCCCGAGUCCCCGUUCUCUUCUGGGCGGCCUCAGUGCUCCAGAGACGGAAAGUGGCUUUUCUCAAGAAGGUGGAAUUUUCCAACUCUGCUGGCAGUAACAUCCAGGUGACAUGUGUGGCAUCACUGUGCUAGGUCAGUGUCUUAGACAGGGACAGUCCUCAGAUGUUUGCUGACUGAGGCAGCCCAGGGAUAGAGUGGCACAGUUUGUUUGUUUGUUUGUUUCAUUUUCUUCAGUCAGGAACUUGCUCUGUAGUCCAGGCUGGCCUUGAACACCUAUCCUUCUGCCGAGGUCUCCCCGAUGCUGGGAUCACAGGUGUAUAUGGAGGCAGCCAUCUGCAAUCGUUCAGCUUGGUUCUGAGUAGCUUUCCCCACCCCUUCUGUACGAGGGAUCAAGUCUAGGGCCUGUAAUGUGGUUGGUUAAAUGUUCUACCGGUGAACCACUCCAGUGCCUUUUCCUGGUUCUGAUGGAGGCUUUGUAUUUAUGAGAGCUGUGUGGUGGUCUGGCUUAUCUGCACUCAUAGUCACGUGUAUCAUAUUAGUUGAGUGUAAUAUGCAUCUUAAAAUGUUAACUGCCAGACUUGUAAAAGUUCUAAGACUGUAAUCAAACUGUGAAAUCCAGUUCUCAGGGAGAAGCUGCCAGAAAAGUCCUGGCCAACUUCUCUUGCUGAAAGCACCCUUUGCUUUUUUUUUUUUUUUUUAAGACUUUUUAACUGUUCAUGGGUAUUUUGCCUGCAUGUGUGUCUGUGAACCAUGUGUGUGUCUGCUCAUGAGUGCCAGAAGAGGGCACAGGAUCCCAUGAAAGAGGAGUUACAGAUAGUCGUGGGAAAUCAUGGGUGCUGGAAAUCGAACCCAGGUCCUCUAAAAGCACAGCCAGUGCUCUUAACCAAUUGAGCCAGCCCCACAGUCCCUGAAAACACUCUUGGCUUUUUAUGGACAUAAGUUCUAAAGCAGAGGAGAAUCCCAAGGCCAAGUGUGGAAUGGUGGGGAAGAGACUUCACCUCUUGUGCAGGACACAUUCAGGGAUAAAGGGUUGAGGGACAAUGCUCUUCUCUGACAGCAAAUAGCUUUCUGUCUGGCUUGCUCUUAUGAGAGCUUGCCAGGAAGCUGGGAAGAAAAGAAAGAACGAGCGGACAGCAGCCAGGAAACUGGAAGAGCAGGAGGGGAAGAGGCUUUGGAACCUGGCUCUGCGCUGCUGAGCUUGGCCACACCUCUCAAGGAGAGGGAGAGAGGUGGCUUACUUCAGCUGGCCUCAAUGUGAUUGCCCCAGAUUAGGAAGCCGCCCUGAGGACCUCCUGGCGGGUCCCUGAACAAGAAGAGCUGGAGGAAGCUGGGUGAUGACACUUGGAAUCACUUUAGUCAGUCAUUAAAUUGUUGCUGUUCUCAAGUGCGACAUCUUCAGAGAUAGCCCCACACCAACUACGACAGAGAGAACUUCGUACUUAACUUUCGGAUAUGUUCGACACGGCACACCUAGGCCAGUGAGAUGACUCAGACUGUAAAGGCGCCGCUGCCAAUCCUCAAGACCCAAGUUCAAUCCCCGGGACCCAUGCCCUCCCAUGUGGAGAGAGAGGGAGAGUGCUAUAAUUUGUUCUUUGACCUCCACGCAUACUCACUCCUCUCUCCAGUAAAUAAAUUAAAAUAAUUUUAAAA